ACACGACUGAGAGACUUUCACUUUCACUCCUGCAUUGCAGGCAGAUUCUUUACCAGCUGAGCCACCAGGGAAGCCCAAGAAUACUGGAGUGGGUAGCCUAUCCCCUCUCCAGGGGAUCUUCCUGAUCCAGGGUCUCCUGCAUUGCAGGCAGAUUCUUUACCAGCUGAGCUGUACUUGUCAGUAAUGUUAAUGGAAUCAAUAUGCAUGGGGAAGGUAAUAUUCUGAGUCUGAAUUCCUUCACGCCUCACCCUUUGCCCUGCUGUUCUUCCCCAGGGCUGGGUGCUGCUCCCGCUCACCUCCCCGAGUUAACCCUUGACUUCCUGAGGAAUCUCCUCUGCUCUCUCUGAAUGGACGGCUUUCCCGCUCGUGUGCCCCUUCACGGCACCAGGAUGAGUAUAAUCAGAAGACCCAAGAGAUGGCUAGCAACCAGAUGGAAAGGAGUUGGGUUCCCAAAUGGAGGAAAGCUACCUCUCCAUUUCCAUCACUGCCAUUGGACUGGUUGGUGAAUAAAACAUCAACUUCUACCAUAUCAAGCCACUGACAUCUUGGGAUUUUUUUGUUAAAGUAGCUAGUGUUACCCUAGUACAAAUGAUCUGUACCGGUUAAAAAGGAGGAAGUAGAUUAGUAUAUUUUGACGUAACCAUAUCUCAAAGAUAUAUUGAUGAAGAAAGCAUAUAAUAUCAUGUAUAUUAAAUACAAUUUAUAUAUGCGUGUGUGUGUACAAACACACAGAAAAACUUCCGGAGGGUAAACAGCAAACUAAUCAUAGUGACUACUUCUAAAGAGGGGAGUGGGGCUGGGUAUUGAGGGAAGUGGAGACUUUUGGUCUGCAUUACUGAAACUUUUAUGAGGAGAGUAUUUCUUGUAUUACUUGUGUAAUUAAAAUUAUGAAAGAAAUUGGAUUGGCUCCCUAGGCAAUUGCUUGACUUGAACUGUUCAUGUUUGUUUCUGUCCUCAUUUAUGUGAGGAAAAUAGAUGAAAGCUUUUCAUCCUGCCCUGCUCACCAAUAUCCUGUAAUGAGUAGAGAUUAUUGGGAAUAAUUCCCAAAUUAAGGUUUUUGGCACAGUAAUGAAUAUAUCAAGAAUUUUAAAAACCACAGAAUACUCUAAAGUAACUGGAGAAGACAAAUGCAAAUAAAUCAGUUAUGAUGGCAAAAAUAAAUGCA
This 1165-nucleotide long non-coding RNA is filed under the name Bos indicus x Bos taurus (hybrid cattle). RNAcentral's name for it is "lncRNA (ENSBIXG00000022764.1)". The record is from RNAcentral. Lineage: Eukaryota; Metazoa; Chordata; Mammalia; Artiodactyla; Bovidae.